CAAUGAAUUUCAUAUGAGUGCGGGUCCGGCGCAGACAACGUCCACCUCGUCCCCACGCUGAUCAAAGUUCGAAACGACAUAGUGUAGUGAAUUGAUUGUCUCAUCAAUUCUGCAUGGAUGUGCAUGACACAACGAUACUUCCAUUAAUCAAAAUUGUUUACGAACAUCAACAAUGAAAAUAUAUUGCAUCAUUUUUCAAAUCACCCUAGAAAUAAGUAUAUAAGACUGUCCAGGAUAUUUGGUCGUCAGUCGAUUUACAGACUGCUACUGAUUCUACAAGAACCAUGAAAGUCUUCAUUAUCGCAGUACUUGCUCUGGUGGCUUUGGGAACUACCCAGGCAGGUAUCCACUGGAGCGAUUUUCUAGUGUGUAACAGAUGGACCCAAUUUUAUGAUCGUGACAACCCGUCCGGCUAUGGUGAUGAGGAACCAUUGGACAGUCUUCGAACGGCUAGGCCCUAUGAUAAUAUCUGUGCAAGACCAGCUACCUUGGAAUAUGAAACCGUAUCCACAAAAGCGUGUAUCAACACCGGAGAAGUGAUUACAGCAUCACCGUUCACGGGUUUCGCAUGUGUUAAUUCUCGUCAACCCGAUCAAAGGUGUAACGAUUACAAAGUUCGAUACUGCUGUCUAGACGCCCAAGUCACAUGCCCGAACGGAUAUGAAUGGACCUAUUUCUACGACCGUGACAACCCCUCAGGCACAGGUGAUUGGGAAUUAUUGGGACAGCUACGAGAAGAAAAUCCAAAUGAGAUUUGUGAAAAACCAAUCGCCAUAGAUGUCCGUCGUCGAAGCAAUGGCCGCGACUUUCGAACAUGCGGCGAGAACGUCACUGUCUCUCCAUCGUACGGAUUUCUCUGCCUAGAUCGAAACCAGUAUGAUCACUAUUGUGAAGAUUACAAAGUCCGAUUCUGUUGUCCUUGUGAUAAAUAAAUAUCUAAAUGGAUAACAUGAAAGAAUAAAAAAUAUUGCACAAUUA
Molecule: long non-coding RNA, 978 nt
Organism: Patella vulgata (common limpet)
Lineage: Eukaryota; Metazoa; Mollusca; Gastropoda; Patellidae
Exons: 5
Source: RefSeq, a predicted model, not a curated record